RNAcentral lists this transfer RNA (70 nucleotides) under Podarcis lilfordi (Lilford's wall lizard). Its description in RNAcentral is "tRNA.Lys". The stretch from base 5 to 62 matches the Rfam family "tRNA", at positions 8 to 63 of the family's 71-position model. From Rfam's summary of the family: Transfer RNA (tRNA) molecules are approximately 80 nucleotides in length. Their secondary structure includes four short double-helical elements and three loops (D, anti-codon, and T loops). Further hydrogen bonds mediate the characteristic L-shaped molecular structure. tRNAs have two regions of fundamental functional importance: the anti-codon, which is responsible for specific mRNA codon recognition, and the 3' end, to which the tRNAs corresponding amino acid is attached (by aminoacyl-tRNA synthetases). tRNAs cope with the degeneracy of the genetic code in two manners: having more than one tRNA (with a specific anti-codon) for a particular amino acid; and 'wobble' base-pairing, i.e. permitting non-standard base-pairing at the 3rd anti-codon position. The record is from RNAcentral. Lineage: Eukaryota; Metazoa; Chordata; Lepidosauria; Squamata; Lacertidae.
GCAAUAGCUCAGUUGGUAGAGCAUGAGACUCUUGAUCUCAGGGUUGUGGGUUCGAGCCCUGUGUUGGACA